Diceros bicornis minor is the source of this 896-nucleotide long non-coding RNA. RefSeq lists it as uncharacterized. Lineage: Eukaryota; Metazoa; Chordata; Mammalia; Perissodactyla; Rhinocerotidae. The transcript has 3 exons. The record is from RefSeq and is a predicted model, not a curated record.
ACCAAUCUAUGCAGGCCCGCAAGUUGCCUGAGGGCUUGUUGUUGGGUGGGACCAGUCUCUAGGGUGGGCUGCCUGCCCUGGCUGAGCUGGAUUAAAUCGGUGCUCUAGCGGGUGGGGCAGACCCUGGGCUAGCAGGCCCCAGGGAGAACUCCAAUGGCGUCUGUGUCAGCACGCCCACACCAGGCCACAACAAUGGCCGCCACCAAUGUCCCAGUCCCUGGAGAGGUCUCACCCCUCACCGAGAUGCACUCAGGGCCUAUUAGGUUGACAUAUGGUGUCAGAAAGUGGAACUUGAAGUGAUCUCACCUCUGUGGACUGGCAUCCUCUGGAAACGGAUUCAGUACCAACACAUGUCCCCUCCUGUGUUCAUCGCUUUCAUGGACCGCUGGCUCCUCCAACUCCGACUCCUUUCAGGUGCUUACAAAUUGUUGAGAAGACGAAUCUUACCCACAUGAAACUAUCAAAAAAUUGGGCUCUCAAAGUAACCUGUGACAUCAUGUGAGAUCUGAGAACAUUUUCUCCAGCUUCCUUCUUCCGGACCUGCCUCUGUGGACAAGAUUAGGUGCUUGAUGAAUGCAGAAAGACAUGUGGCAGGGUGUUGGGACAGGAUUCUGUGAGCACGAAGUAAGUCAGAACUGUCUCAGAGGUGAGCCAGGGGAUGGGCUCACGUCAUGGGCUCCAUGUCAUGAACAAUGUUUCCUCUGAGUUUUUAAAGCUGUGAGCAAGCAGCUAUAUUACAUGAGGAGCAGAAAAAUGAGUAUUCAUAAAUAUGCUGAUGGUCUAAUAAAACAAAAUUGGUGUAAAGAAUAAAAAAAAAAGAUUCGGUGCUUGAAAUACACUGCUCAUUUAGCUUCAAUGAUGCCACAAAGUUUUAUUUCUUUACCUCUCUGAAAAAU